This 496-nucleotide ribosomal RNA is filed under the name uncultured bacterium. Its description in RNAcentral is "partial 16S ribosomal RNA". It matches the Rfam family "Bacterial small subunit ribosomal RNA", at positions 29 to 507 of the family's 1533-position model. The record is from RNAcentral.
UAUGAACGCUGGCGGCGUGCCUAAUACAUGCAAGUCGAGCGAACAGACGAGGAGCUUGCUCCUCUGACGUUAGCUGCGGACGGGUGAGUAACACGUGGAUAACCUACCUAUAAGACUGGGAUAACUUCGGGAAACCGGAGCUAAUACCGGAUAAUAUAUUGAACCGCAUGGUUCAAUAGUGAAAGACGGUUUUGCUGUCACUUAUAGAUGGAUCCGCGCCGCAUUAGCUAGUUGGUAAGGUAACGGCUUACCAAGGCGACGAUGCGUAGCCGACCUGAGAGGGUGAUGGGACACAGGGGAACUGAGACACGGUACAGACCCAUACGGGAGGCAGGAGGAGGGAAUCUUGCGAAAUGGGCGAAAGCCUGACGGAGCAACGGCGCGUGAGUGAAGAAGGUCUGCGGAGCGUAAAACUCUGUUAUGAGGGGAGAACAAAUGUGUAAGUAACGAUGAAAGUCUUGACGGUACCUAAUAAGAAAGCCACGGCUACUACGUG